GACGUCCUGCUUUGACCGUGAUGGUUUUCGGAGGCUUGUCUGAGCCAACGUUUAACCAAAGUGAGUUGCGACAGCCGCGUGGUGUGCACGCCUCCGUGGAGAGGAAGCCUGAAGCGCGGUUUCUACAGCGGCUCCACCUGCUGAUGCAGGUUCAGCAAUCCUCCCCACACGGCAAGGCGGGACUCUU
Molecule: non-coding RNA, 187 nt
Filed under: Acidobacteriota bacterium
Lineage: Bacteria; Pseudomonadati; Acidobacteriota
Description: 6S RNA
Rfam family: 6S / SsrS RNA
About the family: E. coli 6S RNA was the first non coding RNA to be sequenced, but its function was unknown until recently. It consists of 184 nucleotides that fold into an extended hairpin structure with a large single-stranded internal bulge. The 6S RNA specifically associates with RNA polymerase holoenzyme containing the sigma70 specificity factor.
Source: RNAcentral